Molecule: small nucleolar RNA, 80 nt
Organism: Tachyglossus aculeatus (Australian echidna)
Lineage: Eukaryota; Metazoa; Chordata; Mammalia; Monotremata; Tachyglossidae
Product: small nucleolar RNA SNORD72
Exons: 1
Source: RefSeq, a predicted model, not a curated record
AGCUUAUUGAUGAUGUCCUCAUAAAAAAAUGUCUGAACAUAUGAGUUCCAUAGUGAUUUCAAUGCCUACUGAGAUAAGCU